UACGAAGGGGGCUAGCGUUGCUCGGAAUCACUGGGCGUAAAGGGUGCGUAGGCGGGUCUUUAAGUCAGGGGGGAAAUCCUGGAGCUCAACUCCAGAACUGCCUUUGAUACUGAAGAUCUUGAGUUCGGGAGAGGUGAGUGGAACUGCGAGUGUAGAGGUGAAAUUCGUAGAUAUUCGCAAGAACACCAGUGGCGAAGGCGGCUCACUGGCCCGAUACUGGCGCUGAGGCACGAAAGCGUGGGGAGCAAACAGG
Molecule: ribosomal RNA, 253 nt
Filed under: uncultured bacterium
Lineage: Bacteria
Description: partial 16S ribosomal RNA
Rfam family: Bacterial small subunit ribosomal RNA
Source: RNAcentral